Molecule: ribosomal RNA, 615 nt
Filed under: Bacillus cereus
Lineage: Bacteria; Bacillati; Bacillota; Bacilli; Caryophanales; Bacillaceae
Description: bacterial SSU rRNA
Rfam family: Bacterial small subunit ribosomal RNA
Source: RNAcentral
UAAGAGCUUGCUUUAUGAAGUUAGGCGGACGGGUGAGUAACACGUGGGUAACCUGCCCAUAAGACUGGGAUAACUCCGGGAAACCGGGGCUAAACCGGAUAACAUUUUGAACGCAUGAAAUUGAAAGGCGGCUUCGGCUGUCACUUAUGGAUGGACCCGCGUCGCAUUAGCUAGUUGGGAGGUAACGGCUCACCAAGGCAACGAUGCGUAGCCGACCUGAGAGGGUGAUCGGCCACACUGGGACUGAGACACGGCCCAGACUCUACGGGAGGCAGCAGUAGGGAAUCUUCCGCAAUGGACGAAAGUCUGACGGAGCAACGCCGCGUGAGUGAUGAAGGCUUUCGGGUCGUAAAACUCUGUUGUUAGGGAAGAACAAGUGCUAGUUGAAUAAGCUGGCACCUUGACGGUACCUAACCAGAAAGCCACGGCUAACUACGUGCCAGCAGCCGCGGUAAACGUAGGUGCAAGCGUUAUCCGGAAUUAUUGGGCGUAAAGCGCGCGCAGGUGGUUUCUUAAGUUGAUGUGAAAGCCCACGGUCAACCGUGGAGGCAGACUUGAGUGCAGAAGAGGAAAGUGGAGCGUAGAGAUAUGGAGGAACACAGUCGAAGGCGACUU